Molecule: non-coding RNA, 441 nt
Organism: Pimephales promelas (fathead minnow)
Lineage: Eukaryota; Metazoa; Chordata; Actinopteri; Cypriniformes; Leuciscidae
Source: RefSeq, a predicted model, not a curated record
AUGGACCAGACCUUCUCAAUGCGAAGACAUGAGAUUGUGGGCAGAUGGAGCAGUGGAGCUCUUUUUACAGAGAGACAAGUGUUUGCAGAGUUUGACAGGAUAGUCACCACAGAUCUGCAGACAGCAGAGUAACUUUAAUGGUGCUGUGGAUCUCUACACACCACACUUUGUCACAAUCUUCAAGUCUUCAAGAAGCAUUGGAGAGAAAUUGUAUGGGCUUAUGCAGCAAAUUAAUACAGAGGUAUGUGAUGUUGAUGAAGCCUGGGCACAAGUAUCUGUUGGGGACUGUCAUUGAUGAAGAACUUCUCUCUCUCUAACUCUCUGUCUACUGCCAUCAUUGUUGAGAGAGGUAUUGUAAUGGAUAAUCUGCAGAACCUGCCUCAGGCAAUUUGCAUCUAUUUUGGUCAGUCUUAUGCUUUAAAUUUGGAUUUCGCAAAAGAA